This 424-nucleotide ribosomal RNA is filed under the name uncultured bacterium. RNAcentral describes it as "bacterial SSU rRNA". It matches the Rfam family "Bacterial small subunit ribosomal RNA", at positions 355 to 775 of the family's 1533-position model. The record is from RNAcentral.
UGAGGAAUAUUGGUCAAUGGGCGCAAGCCUGAACCAGCCAUCCCGCGUGCAGGAAGACGGCGCUAUGCGUUGUAAACUGCUUUUCCAGGGGGAGAAACUUGCGCACGUAUUGCGCAAUUGACGGUACCCUGGGAAUAAGCAUCGGCUAACUCCGUGCCAGCAGCCGCGGUAAUACGGAGGCUGCGAGCGUUAUCCGGAUUCAUUGGGUUUAAAGGGUGCGUAGGCGGACUAUUAAGUCAGUGGUGAAAUCCUGCAGCUUAACUGCAGAACUGCCAUUGAUACUGAUAGCCUUGAGUUUGGUUAAGGUAGGCGGAAUGUGUAAUGUAGCGGUGAAAUGCUUAGAUAUUACACAGAACACCAAUUGCGUAGGCAGCUUACUGAGCCGACACUGACGCUGAGGCACGAAAGCGUGGGGAUCGAACAG